RNAcentral lists this long non-coding RNA (217 nucleotides) under Elaeis guineensis (African oil palm). RNAcentral's name for it is "long non-coding RNA (EGUI_LNC013358)". The record is from RNAcentral. Lineage: Eukaryota; Viridiplantae; Streptophyta; Magnoliopsida; Arecales; Arecaceae.
AGAUAUCAGUAAUCCAUCUAUAUAUCAAGCUAUUAAAUAAUAUAAUAAAUAAAUACUUAAGAAUAUAUUUAACUAUUUAUUUAUAUAAUAAAUAAAAAAAAGAGAUCAUAUUUUUUUUUGGUUUAAAGAUGAGUGGCAAUAUUUUGAAACCAACAAAAUAGAGAUAAAAAUGGAUCAGUUGAGACCGUGCCACGGAUCCAAAGAAUCAUAGGAAUGA